GAUGAACGCUGGCGGCGUGCCUAAUACAUGCAAGUCGAGCGAACGGACGAGAAGCUUGCUUCUCUGAUGUUAGCGGCGGACGGGUGAGUAACACGUGGAUAACCUACCUAUAAGACUGGGAUAACUUCGGGAAACCGGAGCUAAUACCGGAUGAUAUUUUGAACCGCAUGGUUCAAAAGUGAAAGACGGUCUUGCUGUCACUUAUAGAUGGAUCCGCGCUGCAUUAGCUAGUUGGUAAGGUAACGGCUUACCAAGGCAACGAUGCAUAGCCGACCUGAGAGGGUGAUCGGCCACACUGGAACUGAGACACGGUCCAGACUCCUACGGGAGGCAGCAGUAGGGAAUCUUCCGCAAUGGGCGAAAGCCUGACGGAGCAACGCCGCGUGAGUGAUGAAGGUCUUCGGAUCGUAAAACUCUGUUAUUAGGGAAGAACAUAUGUGUAAGUAACUGUGCACAUCUUGACGGUACCUAAUCAGAAAGCCACGGCUUACUACGUG
This 497-nucleotide ribosomal RNA is filed under the name uncultured bacterium. Its description in RNAcentral is "partial 16S ribosomal RNA". It matches the Rfam family "Bacterial small subunit ribosomal RNA", at positions 28 to 507 of the family's 1533-position model. The record is from RNAcentral.